This 22-nucleotide microRNA is filed under the name Cervus elaphus (red deer). Its description in RNAcentral is "cel-miR-28-3p". RNAcentral also lists the same sequence under 2 other names. Lineage: Eukaryota; Metazoa; Chordata; Mammalia; Artiodactyla; Cervidae. The record is from RNAcentral.
CACUAGAUUGAGAGCUCCUGGA